UACGAAGGGGGCUAGCGUUGCUCGGAAUUACUGGGCGUAAAGCGCACGUAGGCGGAUUGUUAAGUUAGGGGUGAAAUCCCAGGGCUCAACCCUGGAACUGCCUUUAAUACUGGCAAUCUCGAGUCCGAGAGAGGUGAGUGGAAUUCCGAGUGUAGAGGUGAAAUUCGUAGAUAUUCGGAGGAACACCAGUGGCGAAGGCGGCUCACUGGCUCGGUACUGACGCUGAGGUGCGAAAGCGUGGGGAGCCAACAGG
RNAcentral lists this ribosomal RNA (253 nucleotides) under uncultured bacterium. RNAcentral describes it as "partial 16S ribosomal RNA". It matches the Rfam family "Bacterial small subunit ribosomal RNA", at positions 524 to 776 of the family's 1533-position model. The record is from RNAcentral.